GGUUCCUUAAAUUGUACCCACAUUUACUUGGAUAACUGUGGUAAUUCUAGAGCUAAUACAUGCAAACAGAGCUCUGACCGGAGACGGGAGGAGUGCUUUUAUUAGAUCAAAACCAAUCGGCGGCAGUAUAUUUAGUUUCGGCUAUUUAUUACUGUUCGUCGCAAUGUUUGGUGACUCUGAAUAACUUUUGGCUGAUCGCACGGUCUUAGUACCGGCGACGCAUCUUUCAAAUGUCUGCCUUAUCAACUGUCGAUGGUAGGUUCUGCGCCUACCAUGGUUGUAACGGGUAACGGGGAAUCAGGGUUCGAUUCCGGAGAGGGAGCCUGAGAAACGGCUACCACAUCCAAGGAAGGCAGCAGGCGCGCAAAUUACCCACUCCCGGCACGGGGAGGUAGUGACGAAAAAUAACGAUACGGGACUCAUCCGAGGCCCCGUAAUCGGAAUGAGUACACUUUAAAUCCUUUAACAAGGACCCAUUGGAGGGCAAGUCUGGUGCCAGCAGCCGCGGUAAUUCCAGCUCCAAUAGCGUAUAUUAAAGUUGUUGCGGUUAAAAAGCUCGUAGUUGAAUUUGUGUCCCGCGCUGUCGGUUCACCGCCCGCGGUGUUUAACUGGCACGUUUCGCGGGACGUCCUGCCGGUGGAUGUGUAUUCAGUGAGUUCCUCCCUUCAUUUUAUUCCCCCCGUACUACUAAAUAUAUAUUCAUUGGGGUAUGCAGUACAAGUCUCUAUGUUUAUACUCUGUACAUAUUGAGAUUCAGUUUAUCUGUUUCUUCUAUAUAUGCACGUAUAUUCGUAUGCUCGUAUGUUAGUAUACUGAACAAACUGAUGCUUUAUAUAUGGUACGUGGUGUUUUACGGAUGAUGAUGUGUUUUGGGGUUCCACUGUUUAAAUACCAUCCGACUAUAUAAUCCUGUCGCGGUGCUCUUAAUUGAGUGUCGAGGCGGGCCGGCACGUUUACUUUGAACAAAUUAGAGUGCUCAAAGCAGGCUAAAAUUUUGCCUGAAUACUGUGUGCAUGGAAUAAUGGAACAGGACCUCGGUUCUAUUUUAUUGGUUUUCGGAACGCCCGAGGUAAUGAUUAAUAGGGACAGAUGGGGGCAUUCGUAUUGCGACGUUAGAGGUGAAAUUCUUGGAUCGUCGCAAGACGGACAGAAGCGAAAGCAUUUGCCAAAAAUGUUUUCAUUAAUCAAGAACGAAAGUCAGAGGUUCGAAGGCGAUCAGAUACCGCCCUAGUUCUGACCAUAAACGAUGCCAGCUAGCGAUCCGCCGACGUUCCUCCGAUGACUCGGCGGGCAGCUUCCGGGAAACCAAAGCUUUUGGGUUCCGGGGGAAGUAUGGUUGCAAAGCUGAAACUUAAAGGAAUUGACGGAAGGGCACCACCAGGAGUGGAGCCUGCGGCUUAAUUUGACUCAACACGGGAAAACUCACCAGGCCCGGACACCGGAAGGAUUGACAGAUUGAGAGCUCUUUCUUGAUUCGGUGGGUGGUGGUGCAUGGCCG
RNAcentral lists this ribosomal RNA (1498 nucleotides) under Platidiolus vandykei. Its description in RNAcentral is "SSU rRNA". It matches the Rfam family "Eukaryotic small subunit ribosomal RNA", at positions 114 to 1290 of the family's 1831-position model. Lineage: Eukaryota; Metazoa; Arthropoda; Insecta; Coleoptera; Carabidae. The record is from RNAcentral.